GACGAACGCUGGCGGCGUGCUUAACACAUGCAAGUCGAACGGAAAGGCCCUGCUUUUGUGGGGUGCUCGAGUGGCGAACGGGUGAGUAACACGUGAGUAACCUGCCCUUGACUUUGGGAUAACUUCAGGAAACUGGGGCUAAUACCGGAUAGGAGCUCCUGCUGCAUGGUGGGGGUUGGAAAGUUUCGGCGGUUGGGGAUGGACUCGCGGCUUAUCAGCUUGUUGGUGGGGUAGUGGCUUACCAAGGCUUUGACGGGUAGCCGGCCUGAGAGGGUGACCGGCCACAAUGGGACUGAGAUACGGCCCAGACUGCUACGGGAGGCAGCAGUGGGGAAUAUUGCACAAUGGGCGGAAGCCUGAUGCAGCAACGCCGCGUGCGGGAUGACGGCCUUCUGGUUGUAAACCGCUUUCGCCUGUGACGAAGCGUGAGUGACGGUAAUGGGUAAAGAAGCACCGGCUAACUACGUG
RNAcentral lists this ribosomal RNA (468 nucleotides) under uncultured bacterium. RNAcentral describes it as "partial 16S ribosomal RNA". It matches the Rfam family "Bacterial small subunit ribosomal RNA", at positions 28 to 507 of the family's 1533-position model. The record is from RNAcentral.